RNAcentral lists this ribosomal RNA (518 nucleotides) under uncultured bacterium. Its description in RNAcentral is "bacterial SSU rRNA". It matches the Rfam family "Bacterial small subunit ribosomal RNA", at positions 791 to 1314 of the family's 1533-position model. The record is from RNAcentral.
UAGUCCACGCCCUAAACAAUGUCAACUAGUUGUUGGGGAUUCAUUUCCUUAGUAACGUAGCUAACGCGUGAAGUUGACCGCCUGGGGAGUACGGUCGCAAGAUUAAAACUCAAAGGAAUUGACGGGGACCCGCACAAGCGGUGGAUGAUGUGGAUUAAUUCGAUGCAACGCGAAAAACCUUACCUACCCUUGACAUGGUCGGAAUCCUGAAGAGAUUUGGGAGUGCUCGAAAGAGAACCGAUACACAGGUGCUGCAUGGCUGUCGUCAGCUCGUGUCGUGAGAUGUUGGGUUAAGUCCCGCAACGAGCGCAACCCUUGUCCUUAGUUGCUACGCAAGAGCACUCUAAGGAGACUGCCGGUGACAAGCCGGAGGAAGGUGGGGAUGACGUCAAGUCCUCAUGGCCCUUAUAGGUAGGGCUUCACACGUCAUACAAUGGUCGGAACAGAGGGUUGCCAACCCGCGAGGGGGAGCUAAUCCCAGAAAACCGAUCGUAGUCCGGAUUGCACUCUGCAACUCG